CUCGUAGGCGGCCAACUAAGUCAGACGUGAAAUCCCUCGGCUUAACCGGGGAACUGCAUCUGAUACUGGAUGGCUUGAGAUUGGGAGAGGGAUGCGGAAUUCCAGGUGUAGCGGUGAAAUGCGUAGAUAUCUGGAGGAACACCGGUGGCGAAGGCGGCAUCCUGGACCAACACUGACGCUGAGGAGCGAAAGCCAGGGAGCAAACG
Molecule: ribosomal RNA, 206 nt
Filed under: uncultured bacterium
Lineage: Bacteria
Description: partial 16S ribosomal RNA
Rfam family: Bacterial small subunit ribosomal RNA
Source: RNAcentral